Long non-coding RNA from Oncorhynchus masou masou (cherry salmon), 1383 nucleotides. RefSeq lists it as uncharacterized. The transcript is spliced from 2 exons. The record is from RefSeq and is a predicted model, not a curated record. Lineage: Eukaryota; Metazoa; Chordata; Actinopteri; Salmoniformes; Salmonidae.
GCAGAGGAACUGUUGAGAGUGGCCAGAGAAUGCCAAGUAGAUGGAAAAGUAGUCUUGUGUUAGCGACAAUGCAGCUAACAUAACCAAAGCCAUAAAUGUUUAAAUGGACCUAUCAUCCAUGUCUUGCCCACACAAUCAACCUGAUUGUAAGAGAUGCUCUGAAGGUGAUGAAGCCCACUGUGGACAAAGUGAAAGCAGCUGUGGAAUACUUCCACAGCAGCACAGUAGGUGCUGAAAAACUAAAGUCUACACAACGCCGGAUGGUGAUAGCCGAGCUGAGGCCUAAACAAGACUGCACUACAAGGUGGAAUUCAAAAUUUUAUAUGUUUAAGCGGUUUCUUGAGUCAAAGGAUGCCAUCAUCUCUACCAUGGCCAUUGUCAAUGCACCUGUUGAUGCUCUGACCCAAGAGGAAUGGGAGGUGGUGGAGGAGGUGUGCAGAGUCCAGGAACCCUUUGAGCAGGUCACUGGAGAGCUAUGUGACAGCCUCAAAUUAUAUUCCUGUGACAGGGUCUGCAGCGAAUCACAGCCAGCCGCUAGAGAGAAGCAAAUGUAACCACAGGACAUGCGACAGAGUUGAUGGACACCCUAUUUUCAUCAAUGGACAGAAAGUUCCACAGAAUGGAAUAUAAUCACGUGCUAUCUGAAACUGCUGCACUUGACCCCAGGUUUAAGAAGUUAGCCUUCAGUGAUGCCAGAGCGAUUGAUGAGGCUCUUCAAAGAAUAACCUCAGCAGCAGGGAGGGACAGCCCCAGCAGUCAGUUGGCUCAGGCACCAGGGCAACAGGAAGAAGAGGGAUCAGAAGGAGCAGAAGCACCAGCAGUAGUGCCACACAUAUCUGCUGUUUGGAUGCUGUUUGACGAGAGAGAAACUGGGGAUGCAGCACGAAGGAUCUCUCAGUAGAUGCCAUAAUGGAGGUCCGAUCCUAUUUGGAGGAGCCCCCUCCAAAGAUCUGCAGAUCCUCUGAGCUGGUGGAAGAACAAGGCCUCUGUCUACCCACGGCUUACUAAAGUCAUGACAGGGAGACACUGCAUAGUGGCCACAUCGGUUCCCUCUGAGAUUGUCUUCUCGAAAACGGGACAAAUAAUUACUGAGAGAAGAAACCGCAUCAGCCCCUCAAGUGAAGCAGCUUGCAUUUCUGAAUGCAAAUCUCUCAUAAAAGCAAAAUAUGGUCAGCAUUGCUGUGUGCUGCUGGUUAUAACAUGGCACUAAAGAAGAGCGAUAAGAGGGACUAGUUUAAUGUUUUAAGUGGGUUGCUGCAGUUAUGCACAUUUAUUUAUUUAUUUGAUAUUGUGCAAUAUUCUAUUAUGUUCAGAUUGUAUUAGUUUUAAAUGGUUAGAUUUAUGCACUUUUUAUAUACAUUAAAGUUAUACUUUAAAUGCAAA